AACGAACGCUGGCGGCAUGCCUAACACAUGCAAGUCGAACGAGACCUUCGGGUCUAGUGGCGCACGGGUGCGUAACGCGUGGGAAUCUGCCCUUGGGUUCGGAAUAACAGUUAGAAAUGACUGCUAAUACCGGAUAAUGUCUUCGGACCAAAGAUUUAUCGCCCAGGGAUGAGCCCCGCGUAGGAUUAGCUAGUUGGUGAGGUAAAGGCUCACCAAGGCGACGAUCCUUAGCUGGUCUGAGAGGAUGAUCAGCCACACUGGGACUGAGACACGGCCCAGACUCCUACGGGAGGCAGCAGUGGGGAAUAUUGGACAAUGGCGAAAGCCUGAUCCAGCAAUGCCGCGUGAGUGAUGAAGGCCUUAGGGUUGUAAAGCUCUUUUACCCGGGAUGAUAAUGACAGUACCGGGAGAAUAAGCCCCGGCUAACGUCCGU
This 433-nucleotide ribosomal RNA is filed under the name uncultured bacterium. RNAcentral's name for it is "bacterial SSU rRNA". It matches the Rfam family "Bacterial small subunit ribosomal RNA", at positions 29 to 506 of the family's 1533-position model. The record is from RNAcentral.